This 253-nucleotide ribosomal RNA is filed under the name uncultured archaeon. Its description in RNAcentral is "partial 16S ribosomal RNA". It matches the Rfam family "Archaeal small subunit ribosomal RNA", at positions 474 to 727 of the family's 1478-position model. The record is from RNAcentral.
AACCAGCACCUCAAGUGGUCAGGAGGAUUAUUGGGCCUAAAGCAUCCGUAGCCGGCUCUGUAAGUUUUCGGUUAAAUCUAUAUGCUCAACAUAUAGGCUGUCGAAAAUACUGCAUAGCUAGGGAAUGGGAGAGGUAGACGGUACUCGGUAGGAAGGGGUAAAAUCCUUUGAUCUAUCGAUGACCACCUGUGGCGAAGGCGGUCUACCAGAACACGUUCGACGGUGAGGGAUGAAAGCUGGGGGAGCAAACCGG